GCUAGCAGGAAAAAAAAGAGAGUUAAAAGCCAUGAUGAGUUAAAACUGGGCAAGGCAAAGCAAUUCAGGGAUGAGGAGGGGCAUUUAUAAGCAUUUUAAUGGUACCAUGUGCAAAUGUGAAAUGGCCUGAUAAUCACUGAGAGGAAAGUAACCCAAAACCUUCCACACUGCAGAUACUUAAUUUCCUUUUCAAGCUAUGUUAGCAGCCAGAUAGGGGUUUCAAGUAAAGUAUCUACUGAUCAAAACAGAAGAAGAAUGUCUCAAAACCAGGAGUGCUUAAAAAUCAGCAGAUGGAAGUGUGUGGAUCAGUCAGUCUCCAGAACAUAAAGAAACUGGCAAUAGGGAAAAUCAUGUCUAAAAGAAGAUGAAGAAUACUUGUACUUUCUUGAAGCUUGGGACCCCUGAAAAUUUAAUCAAAAAAUGUCACUGCUACCAAGGCUUGUUCAGCCUUCUAAGGUACUCUUCUGCCUAGCAUGGCUAUGGCUACAAAAUGAAUCACAACUCGCUGUGGGGAAAUUGUUUUUUGACCACUCGGAAUACGUGUCAGUGAACCACUUGUGGUAGUAUUUAGGCAUUCACAACUCUGAACUCAGGAAGCGUCCCUGGGAUCCCACACUGAAUCUCCAUCCAGCUGUCUAGUUGUUUGCCAUCUCUUAUGUGGCCAUCAGCAUGACAGCAUUUUUCAGAUGAACAAAAAAAGUACAUGGAGACCAGUUGGAAGGGCAAAACUUGGUGUGUAUGCCCCUGUGGCCACCAAAGUAACAGUGAAACAUUGUCUCUAUGCUCAUGGCUUCAAUGGAAAUGUGUGUCCUGGUGUUUCUUCUCCUUUCUCUGUUCUUUAAGGAGUCUUCAGGCAUGGCAACACACAGACAGCCACACAUCCACCCACCACCAGUGAAUGAGGGAGCUGGAAGCUCCGGGGCAAGGAGGUGGCCUGAAGACUAAAUAGAAGGUUACUUGAGUGGAAAUAUUUCCUCCUGGACUUCCUCCUUCCAGCUGUGCCACUCUGCUUUGGAGUAUGAUGGAUUCUUCCUUCUCAGCACCUGAGUCCAGCAAGGAGCACCCUCAGGACAGAGCAGACAAGAGAUGGAAAGCCUAAUCUGUUGCCAAGACCCAUUAUCCUUCAACUUGAGUCAAACAGUACAUCUUGCUUAUUGAAUCAGGGACUAGUGUGUGUUUUAUGAAGACAGAAAGGAAAAGGGUGGGAAGAAACUGUGAAUGAUUGUGAAUGACUUGUGACAUCUCUCUUGCUGCUCUAAGUGAAGAGGCUUGGUCAGGACAGCUUCCUAAGCCCUGUGGGUCGAACAUGUAAACAAUCAGCAUGGCAGGAUGGAAACCUGUAUUUGAGCAUAUAGGAGAGCUGAUUCUUGGACUGAGAUCUUCGGUCUGGGCUGGCCCUUUCUCUGCCUCUGGACAGAGUGUGUCAUUGUUCCUCAGCAUGGAGCUGGCUUUGCCUACAGCAUCCACUGUUGACAGCUAAGUUUGAUGCAACAGCGCAGAAAAAGAGCUACCAACAAUGCCAACAUCUUCCCCUGAG
Haemorhous mexicanus (house finch) is the source of this 1537-nucleotide long non-coding RNA. RefSeq lists it as uncharacterized. The record is from RefSeq and is a predicted model, not a curated record. NCBI's taxonomy places the organism in Eukaryota, Metazoa, Chordata, Aves, Passeriformes, Fringillidae. The transcript is spliced from 4 exons.